UCUAACGCAUCAUAUUCAAUUGUUUUAUACAUUUAAGUGAUUAAACAUUCUGCUCGAAAUUCAUGUUAAAAUCAAAAAGGAUAUUUGUGUCUUUUAUAGUUCGUUACAAUUAAGGAAAUCAUCAUUCUAUCCCUGAUUUCUUGCCCAAUCGUUACAGAUAACGAUCCUAUUGAGAUAUCUACGAAUUUCUACCUUAUCGUUCCUCAUAGUUUUCUGUCUCCAUUUUUCUAUUUCAGCAACAUCUGCUGUUCGACAAAAGAAACCAUGGAACUCAAGAACGGAGGAGGUGUAGAAAUUGACGUUCAAGAGGGGUUGCGCGAAGUUGAAUUAUGACCAAAAGGACAAGGUAGUCCAUGCAGAAGGCAUUAAGCCAAGCUGAGGGAUCCAAGCUUGAACGUCGUCAACUUGUUGUUGAUUGGCUGAUAGUAUAAUUUAGUUUUGAGUUAGUUUAAUUAAAUUGAUAUUUUAUUGAAAUUUAUAGUACCUUUAUUGAAAGAAUUGGAUUCUAACACUUGGUUAUUAACAAUAGUAUAAGUUUUAUUUUUCA
Molecule: long non-coding RNA, 547 nt
Organism: Salvia miltiorrhiza (redroot sage)
Lineage: Eukaryota; Viridiplantae; Streptophyta; Magnoliopsida; Lamiales; Lamiaceae
Exons: 3
Source: RefSeq, a predicted model, not a curated record